GAAGUUGACCGCCUGGGGAGUACGGUCGCAAGAUUAAAACUCAAAGGAAUUGACGGGGACCCGCACAAGCGGGGGAUGAUGUGGAUUANUUCGAUGCAACGCGAAAAACCUUACCUACCCUUGACAUGUCUGGAAUGCCGAAGAGAUUUGGCAGUGCUCGCAAGAGAACCGGAACACAGGUGCUGCAUGGCUUGUCGUCAGCUCGUGUCGUGAGAUGUUGGGUUAAGUCCCGCAACGAGCGCAACCCUUGUCAUUAGUUGCUACGAAAGGGCACUCUAAUGAGACUGCCGGUGACAAACCGGAGGANGNUGGGGAUGACGUCAAGUCCUCAUGGCCCUUAUGGGUAGGGCUUUCACACGUCAUACAAUGGUCGGGACAGAGGGUCGCCAACCCGCGAGGGGAAGCCAUUCCCAGAANCCCGAUCGUAGUCCGGAUCGCAGUCUGCAACUCGACUGCGUGANGUCGGAAUCGCUAGUANUCGCGGAUCAGCAUGUCGCGGUGAAU
Molecule: ribosomal RNA, 504 nt
Filed under: uncultured bacterium
Lineage: Bacteria
Description: bacterial SSU rRNA
Rfam family: Bacterial small subunit ribosomal RNA
Source: RNAcentral